UGGGAAAUAUUGCACAAUGGGCGCAAGCCUGAUGCAGCCAUGCCGCGUGUGUGAAGAAGGCCUUCGGGUUGUAAAGCACUUUCAGCGAGGAGGAAGGGUAGUGUGUUAAUAGCACAUUGCAUUGACGUUACUCGCAGAAGAAGCACCGGCUAACUCCGUGCCAGCAGCCGCGGUAAUACGGAGGGUGCAAGCGUUAAUCGGAAUUACUGGGCGUAAAGCGCACGCAGGCGGUUUGUUAAGUCAGAUGUGAAAUCCCCGCGCUUAACGUGGGAACUGCAUUUGAAACUGGCAAGCUAGAGUCUUGUAGAGGGGGGUAGAAUUCCAGGUGUAGCGGUGAAAUGCGUAGAGAUCUGGAGGAAUACCGGUGGCGAAGGCGGCCCCCUGGACAAAGACUGACGCUCAGGUGCGAAAGCGUGGGGAGCAAACA
Molecule: ribosomal RNA, 427 nt
Filed under: uncultured bacterium
Lineage: Bacteria
Description: partial 16S ribosomal RNA
Rfam family: Bacterial small subunit ribosomal RNA
Source: RNAcentral